CUGCUGCCUCCCGUAGGAGUUUGGGCCGUGUCUCAGUCCCAAUGUGGCCGUCCGCCCUCUCAGGCCGGCUACUGAUCGUCGCUUUGGUAGGCCGUUACCCUGCCAACUGGCUAAUCAGACGCGGGUCCAUCAUAUACCACCGGAGUUUUUCACACCGGGGCAUGCGCCCCUGUGCGCUUAUGCGGUAUUAGCACCUAUUUCUAAGUGUUAUCCCCCUGUAUAUGGCAGGUUACCCACGCGUUACUCACCCGUCCGCCACUAGGG
This 264-nucleotide ribosomal RNA is filed under the name uncultured bacterium. RNAcentral describes it as "partial 16S ribosomal RNA". The record is from RNAcentral.